This 1925-nucleotide long non-coding RNA is filed under the name Lynx pardinus (Iberian lynx). Lineage: Eukaryota; Metazoa; Chordata; Mammalia; Carnivora; Felidae. The record is from RNAcentral.
CAAUCCUUGCUCUACUGUCUAAAUGAGGAAACACUUUUAUCAAUUCACCUGGUCAGGGGAAAAUGACCUGGGAAGAGGGAAACACUGGUUGUCUCCAGCUGCUCCCAGAUUUUCAAGUAAGUAAGAGGCUAUGCUUACUCCUCCUCCAAAUAAAGCCACAAAGUCUUUGCUGUGACUGCAUUUACCUAGAAAGAUUAGAGACCAAGCUUGUGGCCAUUGUUUGUUAGAAUAUCCUAAAACAAAAGCUAGAGAGUCCUAAGAGCCUGCACUGUCAGAUACUGAUAUGUUUAUUCUAAAAAUGCAGGAAUUAUUUCUGUUUCCCAUGCAGCUUUCAGAAUACCAUCAUCACUCUCCAGAAAUUAUACCAAAAAUCUCUGACAGGGAAGCACUAGCAACUUUUAUCACCCUGGGCCAAAAUUAAAUUUGACCUUCAAUGAAAAAAAAAAAAAAUUCAUCUUUUAUGUAGAGAAGUAAUCAUGAGUAUAUAUUAAGAAAUUCUUAGCAAAAGCUUGGAUUUAUGUAAGAAAAAUAUAAUCUAUCAGUCUAAGAAAUGUGUUAAUUAUACCACGAUUCUCUUAUUUUGCUUCACUGGAGAGUUGUUUAAAUUGGCAUCAUUUCUUUUUCAGUUGUCACGUUGUUUUUCUCCACAGGUUUUCAUAAAAUAAAACCAAAAGCAAAUCACAAUGAUUAUUGAAUUUUGUGACGUAUGCUUCAAGUGAUACAGUAGAAAAUUAGGUUAGACUGUCUGGAUGGAUCCUUGUUUUUCAAAGUUGUUUUUUUUUUUUUUUUAGUCACUUCAGACAAGAUGCCACAUUCUUGCCUGAAGCACUGGCAAUAAAAGAAAGGUGUUAGAUACAAUGGGGAAGCACUUCCAAGGUUAGCAUACAAUGCCUAAUUUUUUGUUUGUUUGUUUAAGGAUUUCAUAAGGCUCCCUAAUCGAGUAGCUAUCCUAUGAAGGCUUUCCGUUAGAAAUGAUGGCCUGAGUCAGGCCCUAGGAAGAGGCACAUUUCUAUACUUCAAAGAGAAAGGAAAAGAAACAAAGGCUGGAAGAGAAGGACAAUCUACCUUAGGAGUAGAUUUCUUUUUUUGCUGUGCUGCACAAAUGUGGGGAUGAGCGUGGGAGGAACAAUUGGGAUGCAUACUGUACGGCCAGGCCUGGACAGUUAUGAAUCAGUAGUCAUUACCACCUCUCCCUUCCCAGGGCUCUGCCGCUCUCUGUGGGCUGUGUCUCCCCACCACACACACAAACAGACACACACACACACACACACACACACGCACACACACACAUAAUGAGUCAUUCAUGGCUUCAAGAAAAUUAAGAAGUAACAUAAAAGUUGUCACCUCACAAGCCAGUUUGAUCUCACUGCAGUAAGUACCGACUCUGUCUAAUCUUCCUUCUCUGCAACCUUCAGUGCCCCAGGCAUGACCAGAGUGAAGCAGACAUCACUUCUGCACCGUCACUCUUGACUGAGCUUCAAGCAAGAUUAGUUGUAACUUAUAGCAGAAUCUCAGGGCGCGGGGAAGAAGAUGCGGCCUGGUGAUCAUCAUGAAGAUUACCUAUCCACCUACUCUGCUACAGGACUCAAUCUCUUAGCCAUAUUUUCAUUUGGUGCCAAUGGAGGGAAGAGAAGGGCAUGCUUUCUGUCGUCUCUGUCAUCAAAACCAGCUCCAGUCUUUAGGGCAAAUGUUCCCCUAUUUGAAAAGCAUUCAUUCACCUGGAGAAGCAGAUUUAAUUAAAUUCUCUUGGGGAGCCUUGGUGGCUCAGUCGGGUGAGUGUCCCAGUUCGGCUGAGGUCAUGGUCUCCCGGUUUAUGAGUUUGAGCCCCACAUCCAGCUCGUUGCCAUUAGCCUGUCAGCAUCAGCGCAGAGCCCGGUUUGGAUAUUCUGUCUUCCUCUCUCUGCCCCUCCCCCACUUGCAUUUGC